Molecule: ribosomal RNA, 207 nt
Filed under: uncultured bacterium
Lineage: Bacteria
Description: partial 16S ribosomal RNA
Rfam family: Bacterial small subunit ribosomal RNA
Source: RNAcentral
UACGUAGGUGGGUAAUCAAGUUAGUUGUGAAAUCCCGGGGCUUAACUCCGGUGCUACAAUUAAGACUGUUUAUCUUGAGUGCAGGAGGGGUAAGUGGAAUUCCUAGUGUAGCGGUGGAAUGCGUAGAUAUUAGGAGGAACACCAGUGGCGAAGGCGACUUACUGGACUGUAACUGACACUGAAGUACGAAAGCGUGGGGAGCAAACA